Molecule: ribosomal RNA, 484 nt
Filed under: uncultured bacterium
Lineage: Bacteria
Description: partial 16S ribosomal RNA
Rfam family: Bacterial small subunit ribosomal RNA
Source: RNAcentral
AUUGAACGCUGGCGGCAGGCCUAACACAUGCAAGUCGAGCGGAUGAAGGGAGCUUGCUCCUGGAUUCAGCGGCGGACGGGUGAGUAAUGCCUAGGAAUCUGCCUUGUCGUGGGGGCUAACGUCCGGAAACGGGCGCUAAUAUCGCAUACGUCCUGAGGGUGAAAGUGGGGGAUCUUCGGACAUCACGCUAUCAGAUGAGCCUAGGUCGGAUUAGCUAGUUGGUGGGGUAAAGGCCUACCAAGGCGACGAUCCGUAACUGGUCUGAGAGGAUGAUCAGCCACACUGGAACUGAGACACGGUCCAGACUCCUACGGGAGGCAGCAGUGGGGAAUAUUGGACAAUGGGCGAAAGCCUGAUCCAGCCAUGCCGCGUGUGUGAAGAAGGUCUUCGGAUUGUAAAGCACUUUAAGUUGGGAGGAAGGGCAGUAAGUUAAUACCUUGCUGUUUUGACGUUACCAACAGAAUAAGCACCGGCUAACUUCGUG